RNAcentral lists this ribosomal RNA (916 nucleotides) under uncultured bacterium. RNAcentral's name for it is "bacterial SSU rRNA". It matches the Rfam family "Bacterial small subunit ribosomal RNA", at positions 246 to 1155 of the family's 1533-position model. The record is from RNAcentral.
UUGUUGGUAAGGUAAAAGCUUACCAAGGCUUCGAUCAGUAGCUGGUCUGAGAGGACGACCAGCCACACUGGGACUGAGACACGGCCCAGACUCCUACGGGAGGCAGCAGUGGGGAAUUUUGGACAAUGGGGGCAACCCUGAUCCAGCCAUGCCGCGUGAGUGAAGGAGGCCUUCGGGUUGUAAAGCUCUUUCAGCCGGAACGAAACGGUUACGGAUAACACCCGUGACUACUGACGGUACCGGAAGAAGAAGCACCGGCUAACUACGUGCCAGCGGCCGCGGUAAUACGUAGGGUGCGAGCGUUAAUCGGAAUUACUGGGCGUAAAGCGUGCGCAGGUGGUUUUGUAAGUCAGAUGUGAAAGCCCCGGGCUCAACCUGGGAACUGCGUUUGAAACUACAAGACUAGAGUGUGGCAGAGGGGGGUGGAAUUCCGCGUGUAGCAGUGAAAUGCGUAGAGAUGUGGAGGAACACCGAUGGCGAAGGCAGCCCCCUGGGUCAACACUGACGCUCAGGCACGAAAGCAUGGGGAGCAAACAGGAUUAGAUACCCUGGUAGUCCAUGCCCUAAACGAUGUCAACUAGUUGUCGGGCCUUUACGGGCUUGGUAACGUAGCUAACGCGUGAAGUUGACCGCCUGGGGAGUACGAUCGCAAGAUUAAAACUCAAAUGAAUUGACGGGGACCCGCACAAGCGGUGGAUUAUGUGGAUUAAUUCGAUGCAACGCGAAAAACCUUACCUACCCUUGACAUGUAUCGAAGCCCGCAGAAAAGCGGGGGUGCCCGAAAGGGAACGAUAACACAGGUGCUGCAUGGCUGUCGUCAGCUCGUGUCGUGAGAUGUUGGGUUAAGUCCCGCAACGAGCGCAACCCUUGUCAUUAAUUGCCAUCAUUUAGUUGGGCACUUUAAUGAGACUGCCGG